RNAcentral lists this long non-coding RNA (819 nucleotides) under Cricetulus griseus (Chinese hamster). Its description in RNAcentral is "lncRNA (ENSCGRG00015038968.1)". The record is from RNAcentral. Lineage: Eukaryota; Metazoa; Chordata; Mammalia; Rodentia; Cricetidae.
GGCAGAAAGUGACAUAGCAAGGAGACUCAUAUUUAAAGAAGGAGAAACAGGAAGCGUCCCUCUUUUCCCCUCCGCUCCUGCUCUAGCAGCACAAUGUGUUCCACCAGCAAGGAGGGACGCCAAUAAGGUGUCUGAUAAGAUCACCCUGUCACCCUCCACUCCAAAAGGAAAGUGAAUGAGCACCAAGAGGACAGCCAUAGAAGACCUUGUUCUUCCCAGUUCUCAGCAUAGUGGGAUGCUAUGACAAUUGAUGCUGGUUAGCUGGGGCUGAAGAAUCAGCUGUGCCUAAGAAAAGACCAGCACCAUUGAAGACUGCAAAUUUGAAAGUGUUUCAUCAAAGUCAAUGCACAGAGGCUGCGGUCAAAAGAGAGUCAAGGCUGGCAGCCAAACAUGGUGAAGAUGUAUUUCAGUCUCAGUGGAGAACAGUGCAUCUUAAAGAUGGGAGGACCUUGGAAAGAUCACCAAGGACAGCAGCAGGUGUGAAGAGCCCGAAGUUAAGAGAUUAUGGAGUUUCAGAGAGAUUCUAGAUAUUUUAGAAAUACGCUAAAUGUUGAAAAAUUUGGAUGUUUUCCCUAAUAUACAAAUGGACUUUGGAAGCCCAUUCCACAUAGAGGGAUACUCUCUCAGCCUAUACACACAAGGGAGGACCUAGGCCAUACUCCAAAUGAUAUGACAGACCUCGAAGAUCCCCAUGGAAGGCCUCACCCUUCCGUGGUGAGCAGAAGGGGGAUAGGAACUGGGAUUGACAUGUAAAACAAGCUUGUUUCUAAUUUAAAUAAAAAAAUACAAAAAAUAAAGAGACUGAACUUUUAAAGACUG